AUCCAGUUGACGUAUCCCAAAUAGGACGAAACGCGCAUCGUAGAU
This 45-nucleotide non-coding RNA is filed under the name Schistosoma margrebowiei. The record is from RNAcentral. Lineage: Eukaryota; Metazoa; Platyhelminthes; Trematoda; Strigeidida; Schistosomatidae.